RNAcentral lists this ribosomal RNA (434 nucleotides) under uncultured bacterium. RNAcentral's name for it is "partial 16S ribosomal RNA". It matches the Rfam family "Bacterial small subunit ribosomal RNA", at positions 29 to 507 of the family's 1533-position model. The record is from RNAcentral.
AGCGAACGCUGGCGGCAGGCCUAACACAUGCCAGUCGAACGAACCUUUCGGGGCUAGCGUCGGACGGGUGAGUAACACGUGGGAACGUGCCUUUAGGUUCGGAAUAACUCAGGGAAACAUGUGCUAAUACCGCAUGUUCUCUUCGGGGGUAAGACUUAUCGGCUUUAGAGCGGCUCGCGUCUGAUUUCCUAGUUGGUUGAGGUAAUGGCCCACCAAGGCGACGAUCAGUAGCUGGUCUGAGAGGAUGAUCACCCACAUUGGGACUGAGACACGGCCCCAACUCGUGCGAGAGGCAGCAGUGGGGAAUCUUGCGGAAUGGGCGAGAGCCUGACGCAGCCAGGCCGCGUGAAUGAUGAAGGUCUUAGGAUUGUAAAAUUCUUUCGCCGGGGAGGAUAAUGACGGUACCCGGAGAAGAAGCCCCGGCUAACUUCGUG